RNAcentral lists this ribosomal RNA (292 nucleotides) under uncultured bacterium. RNAcentral's name for it is "partial 16S ribosomal RNA". It matches the Rfam family "Bacterial small subunit ribosomal RNA", at positions 505 to 796 of the family's 1533-position model. The record is from RNAcentral.
GUGUCAGCCGCCGCGGUAAUACGUAGGGAGCAAGCGUUGUCCGGAAUCAUUGGGCGUAAAGCGCGCGUAGGCGGCCUCAUAAGUCCGUUGUGAAAGUCAAAGGCUCAACCUUUGAAAGCCGAUGGAUACUGUGAGGCUAGAGUCCGGAAGAGGCGAGUGGAAUUCCUGGUGUAGCGGUGGAAUGCGCAGAUAUCAGGAGGAACACCAAUAGCGAAGGCAGCUCGCUGGGACGGUACUGACGCUAAGGCGCGAAAGCGUGGGGAGCGAACAGGAUUAGAAACCCUAGUAGUCC